This 492-nucleotide ribosomal RNA is filed under the name uncultured bacterium. RNAcentral's name for it is "bacterial SSU rRNA". It matches the Rfam family "Bacterial small subunit ribosomal RNA", at positions 8 to 474 of the family's 1533-position model. The record is from RNAcentral.
AGAGUUUGAUCAUGGCUCAGGACGAACGCUGGCGGCGUGCUUAACACAUGCAAGUCAAGGGGAAACCCGAGCUUCGGUUUGGGGAGUAUACUGGCGGACGGGUGAGUAACGCGUAGGCAACCUGGCCUUGUGUUUGGAAUAACUUCGAGAAAUCGGGGCUAAUACCGGAUAUGGCAACGAAUCUGCAUGGAUUGGUUGUGAAAGGUAUUCCACGUUGGUGGGCUAUCGCGCAAGGAUGGGUCUGCGUUCCAUUAGCUAGAUGGUAGGGUAAUGGCCUACCAUGGCGACGAUGGAUAGCUGAUCUGAGAGGAUGAUCAGCCACACUGGGAUUGAGAUACGGCCCAGACUCCUACGGGAGGCAGCAGUGAGGAAUAUUGCGCAAUGGGGGCAACCCUGACGCAGCAACGCCGCGUGGGGGAAGAAGCUCUAUGGAGUGUAAACCCCUGUAGGUAGGGAAGAAUGGUAUGAUUUUACAAGAGGUCAUAGGNGACG